AGUGAACGCUGGCGGUAGGCCUAACACAUGCAAGUCGAACGGCAGCACAGUAAGAGCUUGCUCUUACGGGUGGCGAGUGGCGGACGGGUGAGGAAUACAUCGGAAUCUACUUUUUCGUGGGGGACAACGUCGGGAAACUUACGCUAAUACCGCAUACGACCUACGGGUGAAAGCAGGGGCUCUUCGGACCUUGCGCGAUUGAGUGAGCCGAUGUCGGAUUAGCUAGUUGGCGGGGUAAAGGCCCACCAAGGCGACGAUCCGUAGCUGGUCUGAGAGGAUGAUCAGCCACACUGGAACUGAGACACGGUCCAGACUCCUACGGGAGGCAGGAGUGGGGAAUAUUGGACAAUGGGCGCAAGCCUGAUCCAGCCAUACCGCGUAGGUGAAGAAGGCCUUCGGGUUGUAAAGCCCUUUUGUUGGGAAAGAAAAGCAGCAGGUUAAUACCCCGCUGUUCUGACGGUACCCAAAGAAUAAGCACCGGCUAACUUCGUG
Molecule: ribosomal RNA, 492 nt
Filed under: uncultured bacterium
Lineage: Bacteria
Description: partial 16S ribosomal RNA
Rfam family: Bacterial small subunit ribosomal RNA
Source: RNAcentral